UGCCUACUUGUGAUAUCUCUCUCUGUCAAAUAAAUAAAAUCUUUAAAAAAAAUUACGUAAAAUUAAAUAGGAUGAGUGAUUCAGUUCCUCAGGUAGUUGGUAGUUACUGCAUUACAAGUACAGUUAUGAAAUGUUGCCAUCAUCGUGGAAAGUUCUACUGGACAGUGGAGUUUUCUGUCUUGUUUGACAGAUCCUGGUGGUGGCAGAUCCCUAGGGAUAGGAUGGGUUCUAGAGUUUUGUGUUCAUCUCAUUGUCCUUGUCUAGAACACAGGAAAUGAGGAGAUGGACUGAAAGAUUUAUCUGUUCUUCAGAGUUUUUGCAGAAGACCCACAGAGGAACGCCCUCUGUCCUCCUUACUAUACAGAAGGCAAGAUCCAGAGGUUAAGCACAGGUGUGUUGGAUCUGGGUAGCCUGGGUUUGAAUGUUCUAUUACUUACUACUCUGAGCUUCCACUUCCUUAUCCAUAAAAUAAGGGUAAUACUAAUGUCUCUCUCAUCGCAAUGUGGAGGUAUUGAUGUAGUACUGCUUAAAUCUCACUUAGCAGGUUCCUGGCACACUCUAAGUGCUCCCAUGUGUCAGCUCUUGGUAUUAAUUUCGUACUCCUUUGUUAUCUACCGUAGGAGCGCCAUCAUGUUUCAAGAAUCAGACCACAUAUCUUAAAAAACUAUGUUCUGACUUGCUGUCCCCAUCCUACUCCAUCCUCUGUCCAGCACUGUGCUCACUCCAGAGCCCAAGAACCCUUUAUUUUAGCUCUUACUUCAGAAGGCUAUGAAAAUCUUGAAGACUGGUUCUGUGCCUUGUCUUUGGAUCUGCAGAGCCAGUGUCUUGUCCACUGCUGGCUUUCAGUGCUUGUGAGCUCCUCAUGGGAGGUUACAGAUUGUCAGUAUGCAGCUUUAGCAGGGAUGAAAAUGCAUACCCAUAGGUCGCCAGGGCCUGGUUAUUUUGGGGCUAGGUGUAUGGUGAUUGUUAAUUUCUAGGUGAGUAUUUGAAAAGUGUAUCUUGCCAACUGAGCCCUCACUGGCAAGAGAUCUGGUGCUAUGAUCUGAAUGCUUCUGUCACCCCCUCCUCCGCCUAAUCCAUAUGUUGCAAUCCUAAUAGCCAAGGUGAUAGUAUUAAGAGGUGAGGCUUUGGGGAGGUGAUUAGGGAAUAGAGUAGAGCCCUUAUGAAUGGAAUUAGUGUACUUAUAAAAGACAACUCCAGAGACAUCCCUCACCCUUCUGCCAUGUGAAGAUCCAACGGAAAGGGGAUAUCCGUGAACCAGGAUGUGAGCUCUCACCAGACUGAAUCUGUCGGCACCAUGUGCCUGGAAUUCCCAGCCUCCAGAAUGGGAAAAAUAAACUGAAAAGGUGAACGCAGCUGUCUGAUCAUCACAACGGGCGGCUCUGCCUUGCAGCUGGAGAUGCAUAGGAAAUUGAAAUUUACAACAACAUGGGCACUGCCCCUCCUCCGAAACAGUUCCUGGAAUAUCCCAAACUGAAGGUCUCACAGGGCCACUGAGGGGCUGCUGAGGAGUACUAGAUGAGCCACUGAACUUCUCACCAUCCUGCUCCAGCUGAACGAAGGUCUGGGUAACAGUGGUGCUCAUCAUUGACUAUCUGAGCCAUAAAUGAGAAGGCAUAUGAACAACAUUCUGCACAAUUCUGACAGCGAGUCGGCACUCACUACUGGUGAUGAUGGCAACCCCAGAUACUGCAUCUGAAUCCUUCUCCUUCUUCGCAACUAUAAAUCACACCACCCAUUUGUUAUUUUAUCAUGUUCUAGUCUACCUUGCACUUACAUUUUCAUGUAUUAAUAUUACCUUAUAUUAUUAUUUACAGAAUACUCUCAAAUGUUAAUUUGUCUGAUCCUAAAGCAGUAAUAAGGUAGGUAAGGCAAGCCCUAUUAUUCUUCUGAGAUGAAGAAAAUAAAGAACUAAGACUUAGAGAAGGCAAGUGACUUCUUAAUUUUACAUAUUUAAAGUAGUCAGAGGGGCCACAAUGAGAGUUCAGACCAUCAACCACAGUGCUUGUCAUUUGUCUGUUUUAGAAACAGAAGAAUCUGUCCAUGGUUAAUUUUAAGAAGUCAAUUGCUAAAAAAAAGUUUGGAAAUCAUGAGAAUGAAUUCUAUCGAAAGUCUCCUGACCACUAGCACCCACAGCUUCUGCGGCCAAGGCUGGAGAGAGACCUGUGGGUUUUGCUGGAGUUGAAAGUUGCCUUAUCCAGUCCUGCAGUUCUGGCCUUAAAAUUAACAACAUCCCCACACUCCAGUAAUGGAGGAAACCAAGAAAUUACAUAAUAAUGUACCAGGGGAGAGGAGAUUGCUUUCUGAUCCUCCAGGCAUUUGUUUUAUGUACUGACACAAGAACAUUUGAUUAUUCCCUUAGCAGUCUUACGGAGAAUGGCUAUAAAUGCCAAUUUGCAUCAGGAAAUUACCUGGCCGUACUCUAACUGUGGAACAAGUUCCAUGAAAUUUUGGCAUGCCUUGCAUGUAUUUUGUAUCACGGAAAUGCACCACACCUUUGGUGGUCACUCUUUUGGGUCUUGGUCUCAGGAAGAAACUCAGGUCAAAAUUAAUGAGUUGCAGUCUGUCCUCAAAGUCACAGAUUACUCCCAAAACUGUGUGCUAAAAUUUCUUGGCAGACAUAAACAGCAGUAAAUAAUUUUUUUUAUAAGAGGAAAAAUAUCCUAGAAGAAAAAAUUCCUAAAACUUAGUGGAGGAGUGGCUAAGGGAAAGCAUGCAAUGGGUCUUCUUACAGUGAUAAGCAUGGGUUCCCUUCGUUUGUUAUGUCAGAAACGGAGUCAUGUUGAGACAGAUCUUUGCUUAUCAAUGCUUUCUAAAAUUUGAUUAUUCAACAAUUAUUUAUUGAGUACUUGCCCUGUGCCUUGUUCUGUGCUAGAUACUCUGCACAAAUUAUCUUGAGAUCUUUAGUCACCCUACGUAUGAUGCAGUUAUUUUGGGUGGCUCAGAUGUGUUCUUCCACGAGACAAUUGCUUUGAGAUAUCACAACAUUUUUCUUCGUUUAUUGAUUUACUUGUGAACUAUCCAAAUGCAAAAUGCAACUCAAAAUGCAAAAUAAUUUGGAAUCAGUAUAGUAUGGCAAAAAGAGGACACACAGGGCACAGUCUGCCUCCAGGUUGCUGACUGUCUUGCUGGUAGAUGUCAUCACUUACCAAUGCUGAGACUGUUGCCUAUUUCUACUGCUGAGAGUGUCUGCUCAUAUGCUUCUGUUCUGUCCUUCAAUGGUGAACUUACCUUAUGGUGUUCUUCAUUUAAAGAAUUUUUUUCACACUGUAUAUAGAUAUUCAACUAAAUGAAGCAUUUGGGACUCUAAACUCAUUCAUUUGAAAAUGUUUUUGCAUGAUCUGAGACUACUUCACCUUUGACUUGUUUAUCUAUCCAGGCAUUCAACAACAAAUCCUGGACACCUACCUCUGUGGUAUGUGGGGUAAAUAAGAGUGAUAAGACACUGAGAGAGGGAGUUCUUGACCUUAUAAACCUUGCAGUCUACGGGGAAGACCAAUAAAUCAAUAGGCAUUAGUCAAACAGUAUGCUAAGUACUUGGAUGGGCUAAGCAUGAGAUUCUUUGCAGGACUCGGAUGGGGUGCCUCAGGGAGGUCAUCCAAUAGUUUCCCCCAAACACCCUCCUUUGCAUAUAAUAUGUUCAGGGAAGCCUGUAUCAGACACACUUGGAAUGUUAAAAUACAGAUUCCAAGAUCCAAAUGAA
Molecule: long non-coding RNA, 3703 nt
Organism: Mustela erminea (ermine)
Lineage: Eukaryota; Metazoa; Chordata; Mammalia; Carnivora; Mustelidae
Exons: 4
Source: RefSeq, a predicted model, not a curated record